CUUAGGACAGGUAAUAAUAACUUUUACUACUAACCCUAACCCGACUCAGUCUAGUCCAAUAUAAACAGAGUAAAAGAUCAGAACAGAUAAGAAAAUUGGAAGCGGGACAAGUCUUCAAUAUUCAAAUAGUCAAUGACAGUUUGUUCAAAAUAUAUUAUUAUCCAAAGAAGAAACCACUAGAUUGUAUAAACUCAGUCAUAUAAAAUUCGCAAAUAUACCAUGGAUUAUCAGAGAAUAUGCAUCGUAACCGGCGGUUCUAGAGGUAUAGGUCGAGGUAUCGCUUUGGAACUAGCAAAACAUGGAUUUACGGUUUACAUCACAGGAAGAAAUAUGGAAACGCUACAAGCUGUUGCCAAUGAGGUUGAAGGAAAUGAAAGCGGAGGCAGAAUACACCCGAUUGAAUGUGACCAUGCAAACGAUAAGGAAGUGGAUAAAAUGUUCAAACAAUAAAACACAAUCAUCAGGGUCGACUUGAUCUUCUCGUGAACAAUGCAUCUUCUGCAUCUCAGUUCAUCACGAAUAACUCAGAACUUUCAUUUUGGGAUCAACCAGAUGAUUCGUGGGAGGUCUUUAACAAUGUAGGAUUAAGGAACAAUUUCAGAUGUACGGUAUUAGCGUUCGAGAUUAAUGAUUAAAAAAGGAAGGGACUGAUCAUAAAAUAUUUCCUCUGUCGGAAGCUUGGGUUAUAUGUUAACACCUUUGUAUGGAAUUAGGAAAAAAUGCGCUAGAUCGAAUGGCAAGGGACUGUGCCGUUGAUUUAAAAAAAUACAACGUCGCUUUUAUAUCGCUGUGGCCUUUUGCAGUAAAAACAGAGUAUGCUGUGAAUGCUGCGGUCAAAUCAAAUUCAAGGAUUCACACUUCGAAAGAGGCUCUAUAUUUCUAGAACAUGGUGAAUCGGUGGAAUUUGUUGGAAAGUAGUAGUAUUUU
Styela clava is the source of this 927-nucleotide non-coding RNA. The record is from RefSeq and is a predicted model, not a curated record. Lineage: Eukaryota; Metazoa; Chordata; Ascidiacea; Stolidobranchia; Styelidae.